UCUAUUCGGGUAGGAGGUUG
Molecule: non-coding RNA, 20 nt
Filed under: Arabidopsis thaliana (thale cress)
Lineage: Eukaryota; Viridiplantae; Streptophyta; Magnoliopsida; Brassicales; Brassicaceae
Source: RNAcentral